This is a non-coding RNA of Zootermopsis nevadensis, 1472 nucleotides long. NCBI's taxonomy places the organism in Eukaryota, Metazoa, Arthropoda, Insecta, Blattodea, Termopsidae. The record is from RefSeq and is a predicted model, not a curated record.
CGGCCUCUCCAAAGUGUUCAUAUUGGACAAGUACUUCACCGAAUUACAAAAGUUUUGGGAGACAGAAAAGAAACUGCAAGCGUCACGCCCCAUCCGCUUUACCCCUGGGGAAAGAGCCCCCGGUACCCAUUGGAUAUAAGCCUGGAUGGGCUCCGGAGCUGGUCUCGACGCGGUUCGGUUCGAUUCCCAGUAGGGCAGGAUUUUUCGCUUCGCCACAACGUCCAGUCCAGCUCUAGGCACCAACAGGCCUCCUAUUCGGUGGCUAAGUGAUUCUUUCCCCGGGGCUAAAGCGGCUGGGGCAUGAAGCUAACCCUCACCCCAUAUAUUGGUUAGAUUAAGAAUCCACGCAGAUAUACCUCGAGCCCCACUUUGUUUUACUUGAGCAGACUGUUAUUCAAUAUGGCGGUAUAUUUCAUUAUUCAGGUUGGCAAUACUACUAUAUCAAUCGUAUUGUUAAUUUAAACAUAUUUUUGAAUUACUAAUAAUUUACCCGUUUGAAGCAUCAAGUUCAUUUAAAUGGCAUCUUAACAUUUAGCCCAUACCGCAAACAAAAUACAACGCAUUUCCAAUAAAGAGAUCAAUUAAUUAAUGCUAGUUAGGAAUAUAAUCGCCAUUUAUUAUUAGAAUCAUAAAAAAACAUAAAUACACACUGUGGGUACGAUGUGGAGUUACUGGCUGUAAAAUCGUGUGGUGCAUUGCAAAAAGAUACCAUUCAAAGAAUAAAUAAUGACAUAGUAAUAAAUUAAACAAUUACAUACGUCAGCACAGGCACUCAGUGAAUUAUGUAAUCUAGUGUAAUUGUUCAAAAUGACUAGCGUUAACGUCGUGGUACAGUUGAGAACGGUGAGCAUCUGACUGACAAGGUUAAUAUUCCGUAUUAUAAUCUGUAUACAUCCUUUUUGAGACAUCCCGUGGUUCACAACUGGGCUGUAAAGGGUUAAAAAGUACCUUGAAAUACACUAAAUUGACCAUACAAUCUUUCGGCUCAACAGUCGAUAAGCAAGGGUAAAGGCGGUCCAACUUCUGAAGAAAAAAAUAUAAUUCCUAAUUUGAACACUAUAAGAUACGUCACAAAAGGUGAUAUUUUUAUUUGAAAAGAUUGACUGACAACACAUGAGAUAUAUUUGCGUAAAAUAGUACAGUAAUAGCCCAGAUUUCAUGUUCUCACGACGGCGAGUACGAUUAUGACUGUCUUCUGGGAUGCUGUACCAUGUACUUUGGUAGAUGUUUACUGACGUUUUCGAAGUGUAUACUGCCUCCAUCAUCAGGGCAAUGUUCGCCAUGAUCAUGGAGGCAGCAAGCACCACAGAGAUUUCGGUAACCUUCUAAGAACAGAACGAAUUGUUCACAAAAAUACAUAUUAUUUAAUUUUGAAAUAUUUAGUACAUUUAGUUAUCGUUGAGCUCACACAGAGUUACUUAUUUGUACAGGCCAAUGAACUAACGAAACGAAAUAGAAUUUUAUAUUACAUA